AUUUGGCCAGCCCUGAUCCUUGAGACAGGUGCUGUCUAGCAAGAGCAAGGGAAUAACCACUAAUGUCUCAGCUCUGCUGCUAUAAGAUCUUCAUAUAUGGCCCUGGUAAUGUCAGACAUGGAAAGAGGAGGACUGAACUUCAUAUGGUACAUUUCUGACCUGUCUUCACUGAGAAGCAAGAAGUAAUUUCCACUGUGACGCAGCAGUUUUCAAAAAGAACUUUGAAAUUUUUGAAGUCAAGCUGAAAAUAGUUGUUAAAGGAGCACUGGAAAUGUAUACCUACUGAGCACUUCUUUCAAGGCUUCUCAGUACUGUCUGAAUAUACAUUGGAAAUGCUUGCUUCCCACGAGCCGUUGGUGGGAAUCGCUACCUUCUCCUAUUGCAGUCAAGCUGCACAUAUGGACCCUUCCUAAAAAUACCCGACGGAGACCUACUUACAAAACUGGUGACUUUGUUGAUAUUAUGGAGAAACAGUACUGUGUAACUAGAGAAAUCCUAAAAUAGAGAAUUAGAAUCUUUACCAUCAACUUCAAAGUUGACCCAAAGGCACAAGGAAGGAAAGCAAAACAAAAAAGUUAACACAGUCUAAGGAUUACCUCUUUUCUGCUGGAAACAGAAAGGAAACCUGCUGGAAACCUGCUCUUACUCAUCAGAUCAAAGCUGCUAUAUAUGGUUCUUUUACUGUAGCAGACUACAGAACGAUGAGCUUUUGGCUGAGUAGGGAGAUGGAUAACUUUGUACAGCUCUCAGACUGUUCUGUCCCAAGUUAUUUGUGCAAUCCAUCUGCAGCUUGGUUCUUCCUUUCCUUACCUGCACGUUAUAGACAGCAUUUUACUGAUGCAUAAAAAGAGCUUAAAAGGAGUGACAAAGACAGGGCCAGUAAUAUAUUGUAAAUACACACACAAAAAAAUAAGAGACAUACUAGAAUUUGCAAAAACAUGGAAAACUUAGAGAACAGUUAGAGCAGAAUUCUCAUAUAUCUAUGUCCUGUGUUGUAUUCAUGCUGUCAUCUUUUCGCAUUAUAAAAUAUGAAGCAAUUUGCUGAUUUAUUUGGGACAUCAUCUGCUUGCUACUUAGGCAUGACAUUGUGAACAACUGCACAGCAGGAGAAAAGUAGAACCAUAAAUGAACUGCAGCAGGUAGGCUGCAUCCAGGCAUCACAACACCAGCAGCAAUAGGAACUUACUGAGCGAAAUACUUAGCAAACAAUGUAAGACAUAAUUUUUAGUUACCAAGAAAGUAAAAUUAAGUCACUCUGAAAUUACAAACCCUGAUGCAAAAAAGUAACAAUAAAAGAGCAUUGAG
Long non-coding RNA from Gallus gallus (chicken), 1305 nucleotides. NCBI's taxonomy places the organism in Eukaryota, Metazoa, Chordata, Aves, Galliformes, Phasianidae. The record is from Ensembl.